AGCAGCCGCGGUAAUUCCAGCUCCAAUAGCGUAUAUUAAAGUUGUUGCAGUUAAAAGCUCGUAGUUGAAUUUCGGGAUCAAGUCGUCGGUCGUGCUCAGGUACGUACUGGCGUCAUUGAUUUCUCCCUUCUGACGAACCAUGAUGUCAUUAAUUUGGUGUCAUGGGAAAUCAGGACUGUUACUUUGAAAAAAUUAGAGUGUUUAAAGCAGGCUCACGCUUGAAUACAUUAGCAUGGAAUAAUGAAAUAGGACGUUCGAUCCUAUUUUGUUGGUUUUUAGGAUCAACGUAAUGAUUAAUAGGGAUAGUUGGGGGCAUUAGUAUUCAAUUGUCAGAGGUGAAAUUCUUGGAUUUAUUGAAGACUAACUACUGCGAAAGCAUUUGCCAAGGAUGUUUUCAUUAAUCAAGAACGAAAGUUAGGGGAUCGAAGACGAUCAGAUACCGUCGUAGUCUUAACCAUAAACUAUGCCGACUAGGGAUCGGAUGAUGUUAAUUUUUUAAUGACUCAUUCGGCGCCUUACG
Molecule: unclassified non-coding RNA, 520 nt
Filed under: uncultured Glomus
Lineage: Eukaryota; Fungi; Glomeromycota; Glomeromycetes; Glomerales; Glomeraceae
Description: SSU rRNA
Rfam family: Eukaryotic small subunit ribosomal RNA
Source: RNAcentral